This 240-nucleotide long non-coding RNA is filed under the name Amborella trichopoda. RNAcentral's name for it is "long non-coding RNA (ATRI_LNC002598)". Lineage: Eukaryota; Viridiplantae; Streptophyta; Magnoliopsida; Amborellales; Amborellaceae. The record is from RNAcentral.
UCAAGAGAGAGAGAGAGAGUCUCUAUGUUGGGCAUGCCUUUUUAGGAGAGAGAGUAGAGAGAGAAGGGUUCUUUUUAGGAGAGAGAGAAAAUAAGAGGGACAUGGCCCCUAGGAAAGAUAGAGAGAGAGUUUGUGGGAGAGAGAGGUGUGUUGAGAUGGGGGGAGUGCACCACUAUUUAUAAUCAAAUUUAGGUUUAGGGUUUCCAUAGUUUGCCUCUUUUUUGAGAUUGAAUAUGGACC